GGUGGUUCUGAAUGGAAGGGCCAUCGCUCAACGGAUAAAAGGUACUCCGGGGAUAACAGGCUGAUACCGCCCAAGAGUUCAUAUCGACGGCGGUGUUUGGCACCUCGAUGUCGGCUCAUCACAUCCUGGGGCUGAAGUAGGUCCCAAGGGUAUGGCUGUUCGCCAUUUAAAGUGGUACGCGAGCUGGGUUUAGAACGUCGUGAGACAGUUCGGUCCCUAUCUGCCGUGGGCGCUGGAGAACUGAGGGGGGCUGCUCCUAGUACGAGAGGACCGGAGUGGACGCAUCACUGGUGUUCGGGUUGUCAUGCCAAUGGCACUGCCCGGUAGCUAAAUGCGGAAGAGAUAAGUGCUGAAAGCAUCUAAGCACGAAACUUGCCCCGAGAUGAGUUCUCCCUGACCCUUUAA
RNAcentral lists this ribosomal RNA (405 nucleotides) under Escherichia coli. Its description in RNAcentral is "partial 23S ribosomal RNA". It matches the Rfam family "Bacterial large subunit ribosomal RNA", at positions 2422 to 2824 of the family's 2925-position model. The record is from RNAcentral. RNAcentral also lists the same sequence under 1 other name. Lineage: Bacteria; Pseudomonadati; Pseudomonadota; Gammaproteobacteria; Enterobacterales; Enterobacteriaceae.